RNAcentral lists this ribosomal RNA (335 nucleotides) under uncultured soil bacterium. RNAcentral describes it as "bacterial SSU rRNA". It matches the Rfam family "Bacterial small subunit ribosomal RNA", at positions 26 to 375 of the family's 1533-position model. The record is from RNAcentral.
AGGAUGAACGCUGGCGGAAUGCCUAAUACAUGCAAGUCGAGCGGCAGCGCGAGUAGUUUACUACUUGGCGGCGAGCGGCGGACGGCUGAGUAACGCGUGGGAACGUGCCCCAAAGUGAGGAAUAACUGCCCGAAAGGGUAGCUAAUGCCGCAUAUGAUCUUCGGAUUAAAGGAUUUAUCCGCUUUGGGAGCGGCCCGCGUACGAUUAGAUAGUUGGUGAGGUAAAGGCUCACCAAGUCGACGAUCGUUAACUGAUCUGAGAGGAUGAUCAGUCAGACUGGAACUGAGACACGGUCCAGACUCCGUACGGGAGCAGCAGUAAGAUCUCACAAUGGA